UACGUAGGGCGCAAGCGUUGUCCGGAAUUAUUGGGCGUAAAGAGCGUGUAGGCGGCCCGGUAAGUCCGCUGUGAAAGUCGGGGGCUCAACCCUCGAAUGCCGGUGGAUACUGUCGGGCUAGAGUGCGGAAGAGGCGAGUGGAAUUCCUGGUGUAGCGGUGAAAUGCGCAGAUAUCAGGAGGAACACCGAUUGCGAAGGCAGCUCGCUGGGACGUAACUGACGCUGAGACGCGAAAGCGUGGGGAGCAAACAGG
This 253-nucleotide ribosomal RNA is filed under the name uncultured bacterium. RNAcentral's name for it is "partial 16S ribosomal RNA". It matches the Rfam family "Bacterial small subunit ribosomal RNA", at positions 524 to 776 of the family's 1533-position model. The record is from RNAcentral.